RNAcentral lists this small RNA (557 nucleotides) under Pan troglodytes (chimpanzee). RNAcentral's name for it is "retained intron". Lineage: Eukaryota; Metazoa; Chordata; Mammalia; Primates; Hominidae. The record is from RNAcentral.
ACAUCCAGGCAGCGCAGGCCGCGGGCCGCUCCCCUAGCCAGGAAGAGCCGCCGUCCGCACCGGGACCGGAGAGGAAGCGGAGGUGAGGCGGAACCAACCCUCCUGGCCAUGGGAGGGGCCGUGGUGGACGAGGGCCCCACAGGCGUCAAGGCCCCUGACGGCGGCUGGGGCUGGGCCGUGCUCUUCGGCUGUUUCGUCAUCACUGGCUUCUCCUACGCCUUCCCCAAGGCCGUCAGUGUCUUCUUCAAGGAGCUCAUACAGGAGUUUGGGAUCGGCUACAGCGACACAGCCUGGAUCUCCUCCAUCCUGCUGGCCAUGCUCUACGGGACAGGUGAGGGUGGCCUCACACCGGGCCCCCUGUCCGGGGCUCUGCUGGCGGAUCCUGCUGGGCGCAUGUAGCUGGGCUCAGCAACAGGGCCUUCCGCCUGCUCCCCAGGGAACCCUGGAGGGAAGCCCUUGGGGCCAGGAUCCUGCUGGGCAGCAACAUGCUCUCCACGGGGCCAACCCAGGCAGGGCACGAAGUCCAUCCUGGCCCCUGUCCAAACGGGUCGGCUGUA